Triticum dicoccoides is the source of this 3801-nucleotide long non-coding RNA. RefSeq lists it as uncharacterized. The record is from RefSeq and is a predicted model, not a curated record. The transcript has 5 exons. NCBI's taxonomy places the organism in Eukaryota, Viridiplantae, Streptophyta, Magnoliopsida, Poales, Poaceae.
CCUCACCUGUGCCACAUCGAUUUUACUGUGCCAAGGGGAAAGGUUAAAAACGCUUGGACCCAAUCUAAAAAAUCCGCAUCUACCCAUUGAUCCUCUCACACGCAAGCCUCCUCUCUCUCUUGUCUUGCGAGCCCUCUCUCCUCCCCGCGACUCCUCGGCGCCGCCACCACUCAUGCCGGCCGAUUCCGGCGAGUCCCGAUGGCGGGUGGCAGACCUACGACCUCCCCUCGCUCUGCUCCUUCCUCCCAUCCCUCCAAAUUCGUUGCUAGAGGCCUCCUGCGCUCGCUCCCGACCCUCAGCCGUGGCUAGGGUUUCAGGAGCGGCGUCCACUUCGUCGCCGGCGAGGCUAUGGUGGCUCGUCUCCCCCCAACCCCCGCGCCCACGCGUGGCUGGCCAUGAGGUGCACGCAGUGCGUCGGGCCGUGCCUCCUUUGCACCAGUGAAGAGAUAAUGAAGGUUGUUGCGCCGAUGCUAGUCUGGAGCACCACUCAGAGGCCUUGUUGUCGAGUGGGAGGAUCAGAAGGUAGUGGGAGACGAUGCCGAGUGGAUCGAUGAUAGUUGUGUCGUGUUUGGUGUCCAGGAGCUGGCGGUAGGAAGUGAAGGUCAUCAAGGUCGCAGUCCACACAUCCUCGUCCAUGUUGUGCCACCCUACAAAUGAUUUCCUCUUUGGUCGCUCCUCCUCACGGACGCUCCAGGACAACAUCUCAGCACGGCAUCGUUUGAGGAGAGGAUCAUUGUCGUGCGCUCGAUGGCAGGAACAGACCGAGGUCCUCAUUCGACCUUAAUUUCAAGGUAGCUUUGCUGUUUAAUUGCAUCCCCUCCUAGCUAGCUAAAAAGAGACAUUCACUUUUGCGUGUGCAGAAUUGCGUGAGUUGUUAGCGAAAAGCUAGUAGAGCUUGCUUAAUCAUGAUGUACUCCCUCCGUUCCUAAAUACAAGUCUUUGUAGAGAUUUCACUAUGGACCACAUACGGAUGUAUCUAGAUGCAUUUUAGAGUAUAGAUUCACUCAUUUUGCUCCGUAUGUAGUCACAGUGGAAUCUCUCCAAAGACUUAUAUUUAGGAACGGAGGGAGUAGUAAUUAGUGCAUUGCUGCUUGUGUGACAAACUGUAGGAAUGAACAUAGCCAGGAAAUAAAAAUGAUAUGUAUGCUAAAGAGGCUUAUUCUACACAUGGUAUCUUUAUGUCAGUUACAUACAGUGUCUAGAUGCUUACUUCCCAAUUUUCCUUGAGAUUUUUGUGGCCUUCCUCUGAGCCUUUAGGCACUGCAAGCUAAAUAUAUGUGAAAUUGCCCGUCUCCAGUAGUAGUAUUUCAUUCAUUGUGGUCUGGAGCAAGUGAGCCUUCGCAAGAAACUGUACCUCCUGUUCAAGAUCAUGUCCUGCACCAGCAUCCUCAGAAUUCUAUACCUGACAGUCAUGAUAUGAAGGAUCUGGAUGAACCAUUUGAUCCCAUGUUUAGCCGCCUACGGACAACCCUUUUGGUAAUUACAAGAGCACGUUCAUACUCCCUUUGUCCAAAAUAAGUGAUUCAACUUAUGUGCUGAUGGUAAACAGUUGUGCGUGUGUAUUUGGUCUAUUUCCUCUCCAUAUCCAUGGUUUUCAUGCUGAUUUGUGUUUUCCGCUUUCUAUUUCAAGUUAUCGCCCAUGUAGCUGUGUAUUUGGCUGCAGGUCAUCGCUACUACUCCCUCCGUCCGGAAAUAUUUGUCAUCAAAAUGGCUAAAAGUCGAUGUAUCUAGACGUAUUUUAAUUCUAGAUACGUCUCUUUUUAUCUAUUUUGAUGACAAGUAUUUUCGGACGGAGGGAGUACCUCGAUGAAGUCACACGGACCCAGUGGUUCACACUACCUCCAAAGCAUUCGAAGAAGGUGUCCGCGUACAUGGUAUAAUUGUCUAUAUACAUAUAUCACCAUACAUUAAAAUGAAGAACGACGGCGUCUAAAAGAUUCUGAAGCUUCAUUCUGGAGUUACAUGAAUCUGGGGCUGACUGAGGGAGAUCAAAAUGGUACCAGAUGGUAACAUUAGGUUGUAUGCAUGCAGUGAUGUUUAAUCAAGAUCGUUCAAAGGCUAUAUUCAGGUAGAUAAAUUGACCUCUACCAUGUCUUAUCAGUUCAUCUAUUAAGUUGUUGUAGUACUUCAAGCCCUACACUGUCAGCGUGACAUUGAGUACCAUGAAUUUUCAGAGAUGCACUACUGUACUAGACAAUGUACUUUCUCAUCAAUUUAAAAUAAUUAAGAGGCAUGUGACAUGUGUCUUAGUUUCUAAUAGAAACACAAAUAUGUCUAUUUCACUUUUUAGACAAUUUUUUUGAUUCUGCAAAAUGCGCGAAGCAAAUGCAUUAUGACCCGAUGUUUUAAUUCAUAGGAGCAUGUAUAAAUUGGGAGUUGCUUUUGGUUUGAUCAACAUUGUUCCUUUGUAUGCUUACAUGGUUACCGCUUUAGUUAUCAGGGAAGAUUUCUUGCGUUUUGUGCCUUCGUGUUUUCUCGUUCAAACUUUAAUAAUGGUUUGGAAAUUCUUGGUAAAUGCGGUUAACAAUGAGGAUACAAUCGAGUACAAUUAAUUUGUUUUUCUAUUGCCGGGUAACCUUCUUAUGUCAUCAUUUUCUGACUAAUUUUAUGCUGCAAGUAUCUGGUCCAGAGUCGAUGGAGACAAGCAACAUCAUGAUGCUGCUAUAUCUUAGUGGUCUUUAUUUCACAAAUAGUGAUCUGCUUCUUAUCUGCUCUAGGUGUCUCUGUCGUGACUUGCUUGGCAUUAUUCUCAUAUCCGUUAGGCAGUAGUAACCUUCUUUUGAUGGUUGUCGACACACACCUUCAGUCACACAUACACCAUACGAGGUAUUGAAUAACCUAUCCUCUCAUUUUUAUCAUCAUUGCCAUAACUUUUACAGCCUUCUCAUCAAAGUUCUUGCCUCUGAGCCCACUCUCUGCCAUGAUGUGCUGAUAUGCUCAUUUUACAUUAUAUGUUUGUUUGUCUGUUUGUGUGAACUUUUAGUUUUCCAGAAGUUUUUGUUAUAGCGUGCCACUUCUAUCUUUGUAUACUCAAUGUCACGCUGACAGUGUAGGGCUUGAAGUACUACAACAAGUAGAUGUAGUAUUUUCCAAUUAUCUAUUUGCAAUUCAAUUAUUUAGUUAUUUUAGGAGAGGCGUUAGUUCAUUGAUUUAAUGACUUCUUUUAGCAGUCAAAACAGCAGGAGAUGCUCCCACUGCUAUAUUCUUAAUUUUUGAGAAAUAAUACAUACUGUCUGUAUGCCCACCAAUUGGUGGCAGAAAGGGUCUUUUUUUGCGAAAGGGCAGAAAGGGCCUUACAAAUAAAACAAGGCCAAGUAUAAAAAAUAUACAAGGUUCUGGCCCUGAACUUCAGAAUCCCUAGGUCUGAAGUUAGUCCUGUCUUACAACUGAGCAAUAUGCAGAGCCUCUGGCACGCGCAGCCAUGCUCUAUCGCCGCCACCUGCUACUUCAAGUCCGUCAACGGCCUCGCCGGAAACUGGGGCUUAUCCAUAGUCCGACUCAAUCUCUGUGUCGCCCUCCUCGCCGGUAUACAUGCAUCUCGUUUAGUCAGCUCGUUGUACAACUUGUAGUCUCCUCAAUCCAGAAGUAGGAAUUCACAGAUAAAAUGCUUAUCUGAAUUCAGGUGUACAACCAUUUUUUUUUUGGAUUUUAGGUUGGAUGCUCACAUAAGAGGUGAUCUGAUUUUGCUAUCGCUUGUCUCUUUUUGCUAAUGCUGGGAUGUGUCCAAGUGUUGAUUUUUGUCAUGUGUGGAAGCUGGACUGUGUCUAUAUGUACAUUUUUGUUCAUGCAAGAAUUUUUUAU